AGGAGGUGCUAGGGGAGGAUGGAGGAAGUGAAUGACCCAGCUCAGGACGUGGUGAGGGAGGAUGGAGGAAGUGCUUCCCUUUAAAUGCUUCCCCUUUGCGGGGGCUCACCUAAGGCCCAGGGAGGGCCACGACUCUCAUGUGGGGCAGGCCCCACCAGCACCUCCCUCCAUCCUGCCCCCUGUCCUUCCCCUCCGUCAUCUAGAGCCAGCCUCUGCCAGCACAGCUCAGAGUCGCAUUCUCUGCUAGGCCGCCAGCCCGACUCUACAGAAUGCACACCUGGAGCCAUAUGGAAUCUCAGGAACCUGCAAGGCUUCCCUCCCACUACGCGGACUAAGGGCAAGGCUCUCAGAAAGAUUUCUAGGAUGUAUGUGCUGCAAGUAGGAAGGCCAGUGGUUGAUUAGAAUGGGAUCGUACGAGUCCUAAUGGAUACGUAACGCUCGAGCAGCCGGUACAAACGGUGGGCCCUGCACGCCUCCGCUAAGUUACCUCUCACUCCACCUGUUCCACAUGGUUUUCGCUCCGCUGGGCCAAUGCCUCUACCUACAGCACGUAGAGGAACAUCAGACUGAUUUCUGCUGAACACUCCUUUUCAUCCCCCUAAGGGACAAUGCGGGUACCGUGUCCUUAGUUUUUCUCAAUCAUCUUUCUUAUUUUUCUUAAUUCCCUUAAGAACUCUGAUCUUGUUUCCCUCUCUUUGUUCUGUUUGUGAUCCUCUGAAAAUGACCCUACCCUUAAUUUAAUUAAAACGAGCUGUUUACCCACUAGAAUGAUACAGUUAAAAAGUUUGACAAUACAAAGUGUUGGCAGGGCCACAGAAUCACUGGAAUUCUUAAAUGUUGCUUAUG
Molecule: long non-coding RNA, 846 nt
Filed under: Homo sapiens (human)
Lineage: Eukaryota; Metazoa; Chordata; Mammalia; Primates; Hominidae
Description: HSALNT0132053
Source: RNAcentral